CGUGCUUACACAUGCAGUCGAGCGGUAAGGCCCUUCGGGGUACACGAGCGGCGAACGGGUGAGUAACACGUGGGUAACCUGCCCUGUACUCUGGGAUAAGCCUUGGAAACGAGGUCUAAUACCGGAUAUGACACCGAUCCGCAUGGUUUGGUGUGGAAAGUUCCGGCGGUACAGGAUGGACCCGCGGCCUAUCAGCUUGUUGGUGGGGUAAUGGCCUACCAAGGCGACGACGGGUAGCCGGCCUGAGAGGGUGACCGGCCACACUGGGACUGAGACACGGCCCAGACUCCUACGGGAGGCAGCAGUGGGGAAUAUUGCACAAUGGGCGAAAGCCUGAUGCAGCGACGCCGCGUGAGGGAUGACGGCCUUCGGGUUGUAAACCUCUUUCAGCAGGGACGAAGCGCAAGUGACGGUACCUGCAGAAGAAGCACCGGCUAACUACGUGCCA
This 448-nucleotide ribosomal RNA is filed under the name Lentzea sp. RNAcentral describes it as "bacterial SSU rRNA". It matches the Rfam family "Bacterial small subunit ribosomal RNA", at positions 43 to 510 of the family's 1533-position model. Lineage: Bacteria; Bacillati; Actinomycetota; Actinomycetes; Pseudonocardiales; Pseudonocardiaceae. The record is from RNAcentral.